GUGAGGAAUAUUGCGCAAUGGAGGCAACUCUGACGCAGCCAUGCCGCGUGCAGGAAGAAGGCGCUACGCGUUGUAAACUGCUUUUAACCGGGAAGAAACCCCAGGACGUGUCCUGGGUUGACGGUACCGGAGGAAUAAGCACCGGCUAACUUCGUGCCAGCAGCCGCGGUAAUACGAAGGGUGCAAGCGUUAUCCGGAUUCAUUGGGUUUAAAGGUUGCGUAGGCGGAGCGUUAAGUCAGUGGUGAAAUCCUGCAGCUUAACUGUAGACUUGCCAUUGAUACUGGCGCUCUUGAGUGCGCUUGAAGUGGGCGGAAUGUGCCGUGUAGCGGUGAAAUGCUUAGAUAUGGCACAGAACACCAAUUGCGAAGGCAGCUCACUAAGGCGAUACUGACGCUGAGGCACGAAAGCGUGGGGAUCGAACAGGAUUAGAUACCCUAGUAGUCC
Molecule: ribosomal RNA, 445 nt
Filed under: uncultured bacterium
Lineage: Bacteria
Description: partial 16S ribosomal RNA
Rfam family: Bacterial small subunit ribosomal RNA
Source: RNAcentral